Molecule: ribosomal RNA, 462 nt
Filed under: uncultured bacterium
Lineage: Bacteria
Description: partial 16S ribosomal RNA
Rfam family: Bacterial small subunit ribosomal RNA
Source: RNAcentral
GACGAACGCUGGCGGCGUGCUUAACACAUGCAAGUCGAGCGGAAAGGCCCUUCGGGGUACUCGAGCGGCGAACGGGUGAGUAACGCGUGAGUAACCUGCCCCAGACUUUGGGAUAACCCCCGGAAACGGGGGCUAAUACCGGAUACGACACAGCUUCGCAUGGGGUCUGUGUGGAAAGUUUUUCGGUUUGGGAUGGGCUCGCGGCCUAUCAGCUUGUUGGUGGGGUGAUGGCCUACCAAGGCGACGACGGGUAGCCGGCCUGAGAGGGCGACCGGCCACACUGGGACUGAGACAGGGACCAGAGUCCUACGGGAGGCAGAAGUGGGGAAUAUUGCACAAUGGGCGGAAGCCUGAUGCGGCGACGCCGCGUGAGGGAUGACGGCCUUCGGGUUGUAAACCUCUUUCAGCAGGGACGAAGCGUAAGUGACGGUACCUGCAGAAGAAGCGCCGGCCAACUACGUG